UGUAUCCGAGAUAGUAUCAUCCAUCACGUCUACCAACAAGUAAUGUACCUAAAUAACUGCACAAACCUAAACUAUUUUUAAACAAAGUACAAUUAUUUAAAAAAGUAAACCCUGAACUAUAAAGCAGAGUCCCUCAAACUUUCCGUGUACUACACAUGGAUUAUGGAUUUGUCAUACACCACUCGCUAUUAAAAAUUCAACUAUUCAUGUCUACA
This is a non-coding RNA of Cinara cedri, 215 nucleotides long. The record is from the annotation of a GenBank genome assembly. Lineage: Eukaryota; Metazoa; Arthropoda; Insecta; Hemiptera; Aphididae.